RNAcentral lists this ribosomal RNA (253 nucleotides) under uncultured bacterium. RNAcentral describes it as "partial 16S ribosomal RNA". It matches the Rfam family "Bacterial small subunit ribosomal RNA", at positions 524 to 776 of the family's 1533-position model. The record is from RNAcentral.
UACGUAGGGUGCGAGCGUUGUCCGGAUUUAUUGGGCGUAAAGGGCUCGUAGGCGGCCUGUCGCGUCGGGAGUGAAAGCCCACUGCUUAACGGUGGGUCUGCUUCCGGUACGGGCAGGCUGGAGGCAGGCAGGGGAGAACGGAAUUCCCGGUGUAGCGGUGAAAUGCGCAGAUAUCGGAAAGAACACCAACGGCGAAAGCACUCUGCUGGGCCGACACUGACACUGAGAGACGAAAGCUAGGGGAGCGAAUGGG